Molecule: long non-coding RNA, 682 nt
Organism: Columba livia (rock pigeon)
Lineage: Eukaryota; Metazoa; Chordata; Aves; Columbiformes; Columbidae
Exons: 3
Source: RefSeq, a predicted model, not a curated record
AAGUGGUAUCGGCAGACAGCUGGCACAGGAGAGAUGAUAGAUGGAUAUUUCCCAGCAGUAGCCCUAGAGAAUAUUUGCCACGGUGGCUUUCUCUAUUCUAGGCAGCUGUUUCAGCUAGCUUUUGCAUUGCUAACAAGUACUGAGAUUAAAAUAGAUCUUUAAAAUAGCUUUUUGCUAAGGCUUCGCGGAAACCUGUUGGCUGGAUACUCUCACAAUGACUCACUUCCACAACUCACACUUCCCACAAACAUCUGUGAAUCAUAAAAAGCUUUAAUGAAUGUGGAUAGCUGUGCAAAGAAACUACACAUCAUCUAGAUAAUGACCUGCUCUCAUUUAUCUGCUCCUCAUUUCAUGCAACAAAUGCUGCGAGGAAACCAUCAGCUUUUACAAAGCUGCAAACAUUAAAAGCAGGCUUUGGAUCAUGCUGCGGAGUGCUCCAAGGGCGUACAAACUGAUUCCUUUCCACUGGAUCAGACUAGAGAUUGUUGGAAACGUGUCAUGUGUGGACACCGACCGCUCACCACCCACUCUUUGUCUCUACAGAUCUACUGCUGUUGUACCAGCCCAAUAAUUAGACCAAUUACCUUUUAUAACACAUUUUGUUUUACUUAGUCUCUUGGAUUAUGAGGCAUGCAACGAAUUAAUAAAGUGAGUGAAUAAAACACUGUCCAUAUUCAAAGCA